Long non-coding RNA from Lineus longissimus, 357 nucleotides. RefSeq lists it as uncharacterized. NCBI's taxonomy places the organism in Eukaryota, Metazoa, Nemertea, Pilidiophora, Heteronemertea, Lineidae. The record is from RefSeq and is a predicted model, not a curated record. The transcript is spliced from 3 exons.
GAUCUCCGGCGCGGCGGCAUUUACAUCUGUUUCGAAACUUUUCCGUUUAAUUCUCUGAUUUCACCUCUAUUUCGUGCAUAAAGACAACUUUUGGAUGGAUCAACAUUGAAGACAAACAGGCAACAGAGCUAAAGACAGCGACUAGCCAGGAUGGUGCUGGCAAGCUAUGACAACGUGUACAACAGUUGGGGGAGAAACUGGAGCCAAGCAUAUCGGGCCGCGCUGUAGACCAUGAUCCGGUCCAUGUAUAGUUGACCAGAGGGACGCGUCAUGACGUUACGGAGCGGGAGCCGCAAGAUUAGGGCAAGAGUAACUGCUUCAGGGGCAGUCCUGGGGAUGCUGCUCCCUCGAUUCGAA